UCUAUGGAUUUACCUCUUCUAGAUGUUUCAUCUAAAUGGAAUCAUAUAUUUGCGACCUUUGUGUCUGGCUUCCUUCAUUGACAUAAUGCUUUCAAGGUUCAUCCACGUUGUAGCACGUAUCAGUACUUAAUUCCCUUUGAUGGCUGAAUAAUAUUCCAUUUUAUGUCUGCCACACAUUUUGUUUAUCCAUUCAUUUGUCAAUGAACAUGUAGAUUGUUUCUACCUUUUGGCUAUUGUGAAUAAUGCUCCAAUAAACAGUUGUGCACAAGUAUCUGUUUGAAUUCCUGUUUUCAAUUCUUAUAUGCAUAGGAGUGGAAUUGCAGGGUCAUUUAGGAAUUCAAUGUUUAGCUUUUUGAUGAAUCACUAAACUAUUUUCCACAAUGGCUGUACCAUUUUACAUUUCCACCAACAACAUGCGGGGGUUGCAAUUUGUCCACAUCCUCGCCAACUUAUUUUGUUUUUGUUUGUUUGCUUUGUGUGUGUGUACAUAUAUAUAUAUAUAUAGCCACUACUCCCUUGGUUCGUCUCAGGGAGUAUGCUCCACCUACAGCGGCAGCUUCAGGGAUGGCCAGCAGCACAAUGUGGGAAGAGCACAGGCUUUGGACUCAGACCGAGGUGGGGUUCAAAUCCAGAUCUCCCUCUUCCCAGGAAGGUAGCCUUGGGCAGGUGAUAAUCUCUGCAAAUCUUGGUUUCUCCAUCCAUACAACAGCAAUAAUAUACUGGGGUGAAGAGAUGAGUGAAGCUCCUGGCACAUGCCUGGCAGACAGUAGGCUGAACAAAUGCUCUUCCUCCUCAAUUAUGGAUAGAAACAGAGAGGAAGAGAUGGAUUUUAAACAAUCUGCUUUUAAAUUAUUGUUACUACUAUUUUUGGUAUUGGACCUCAUUAUAGAAAGUUUUUUUUUUUUUUUUUUUUGCCAUGGGCUUCUCUGCAAAAUCAUGCCUGAUUAAAUUAAUACCCAAAUUGCAAUAUGUUUAUUCUUUAGCCCAGUUUAUGGGGUUAAGGGAGAUGGAUCUGCAUGGUAAAUUGGGAAGAUUUACUGAGCUAACCAUUGAACUAGAGAUUCCCAGGUGGAUGACCCACCUUUGCUUUUCCAUCGUGUCCAUAUUUCAGGGUGGACUUGAAGUAGUCAUUGUUCCUCAAGUUCCUUCAAGAACAUGGACUUCUUAUUCAUCCUAGAAAACAAAAACCUCUUGGCCACAAACUGCUUUGUUAGUUUUGUAUACACUGUGUUACUUGUGAUGGAAGCACACAUUCCCUAUGUAAAACUUCAGCCACAUCUUUCAAAUAACACUAACAAGUUCCAGUGAUGUCGUAUUCAUGCUGAAUUAUUCUUUUCUUGGUCCCAAGCAAAGUAGGUUUUCACGUAGUGAGUGCUGAGGAUACCUCCCCUUAGGGUUGGCGCCCAUGGUAGUGAGGGCUUUGGACCAAUGCCACAUGACUACAGGUGGCUCAAGCUGGAAUUUCUGUUCACUGAAUGUGGUGAAUAAUGAGGGAGGGAAAGAGCAAAGCAGUAGCCGGGAGAGUGUUUACACUCAGUGCCCCAGUUAGCUCAGAGCAUGGUAGGCCAAGAAGACACUUGGGCAGGCUCAUAAUUUUAUGUGCCUUCAAAUUGAUAUUUGUUAUGUAAGUAUUCAAUAUUUAUUUAGCAGAGAAACUAACCUUUGUGUUGGGGAAGCGGAGGAGGAAGAAAACUGUUGUAGAGGUGGCUCAGGGACCCUGGCAAGCCUCUUUAGCAGUUCAGAGACUCUUUGUUUAUCUCUGAUCUUGUCCUUAUGGGAGCUUUACCUCCUCACACCUGGCUUUUUAUAGUGCUCUUCUCGAUCAUGUAUAGUGAGUGCUCACCCUGAAAAUCUCAUUUUUCCAUCUUGUUACUUUUCCAGUGAUCUCCUGGGGACUUUAUAGAUUGGCUACCAGGAAACCGAGUGGUUGGCUUACCCCCUAAUUCAUCUCUGGCUGAGAGUUUUCUAAAAGAUAUUUUAAAUUAGGCCGGGUGUGGUGGCUCACGCCUGUAAUCCCAGCACUUUGGGAGGCCGAGGCAAGUGGAUCACCUGAGGUCAGGAGUUCGAAACCAGCCUGGCCAACAUGGUGAAACCCCGUCUCUACGAAAAAUAUAAAAAUUAGCCAGGCGUGGUGGCACGUGCCUGUAAUCCCAGCUACUCAGGAGGCUGAAGCAGGAGAAUCACUUGAACCCUGGAGGUGGAGGUUCCAGUGAGCCAAGAUUGCGCCACUGCACUCCAGUCUGGGCGACAAGAACAAAACUCCGUCUCAAAAAAAAAAAAAAAAAUUAAAUUAAAUGCUUGCUUUUUGGCAGGCGCUGUGGCCCUUGUAAGUAUCACCUCAUUUAAUCCUCAUAACAUCUUACAGGGUAGGUAGCAGUAUUACCCCCUUCUUACAGAUGAGAAGACCAAGGCACAGAGAGGCUAAAGUAUCUUGCUUAAAGUGACAGCUGGGAAGUGGCAGAAGUACUCCCAAAUGGCUAAUAGAAAUUAGCCAUUUUAUGUGAACAAUUCAGUUCAAAUGGAGCAUUUUAUCCCAGAACUUUACCGUUAAUGCCUGCAUUUGGCUUGGGCAAAAUAG
This 2578-nucleotide long non-coding RNA is filed under the name Homo sapiens (human). RNAcentral's name for it is "non-protein coding lnc-DLG5-3:1". The stretch from base 1987 to 2103 matches the Rfam family "Metazoan signal recognition particle RNA". The record is from RNAcentral. Lineage: Eukaryota; Metazoa; Chordata; Mammalia; Primates; Hominidae.